UAGGGAAUCUUCCGCAAUGGGCGCAAGCCUGAUGGAGCAACGCCGCGUGAGUGAAGAAGGUCUUCGGAUCGUAAAACUCUGUUGUUAGAGAAGAACAUGCAGGAGAGUAACUGUUCUUGUAUUGACGGUAUCUAACCAGAAAGCCACGGCUAACUACGUGCCAA
This 164-nucleotide ribosomal RNA is filed under the name uncultured bacterium. RNAcentral's name for it is "partial 16S rRNA". It matches the Rfam family "Bacterial small subunit ribosomal RNA", at positions 355 to 511 of the family's 1533-position model. The record is from RNAcentral.